Molecule: ribosomal RNA, 497 nt
Filed under: uncultured bacterium
Lineage: Bacteria
Description: partial 16S ribosomal RNA
Rfam family: Bacterial small subunit ribosomal RNA
Source: RNAcentral
GAUGAACGCUGGCGGCGUGCCUAAUACAUGCAAGUCGAGCGAACAGACGAGGAGCUUGCUCCUCUGACGUUAGCGGCGGACGGGUGAGUAACACGUGGAUAACCUACCUAUAAGACUGGGAUAACUUCGGGAAACCGGAGCUAAUACCGGAUAAUAUAUUGAACCGCAUGGUUCAAUAGUGAAAGACGGUUUUGCUGUCACUUAUAGAUGGAUCCGCGCCGCAUUAGCUAGUUGGUAAGGUAACGGCUUACCAAGGCGACGAUGCGUAGCCGACCUAAGAGGGUGAUCGGCCACACUGGAACUGAGACACGGUCCAGACUCCUACGGGAGGCAGCAGUAGGGAAUCUUCCGCAAUGGGCGAAAGCUUGACGGAGCAACGCCGCGUGAGUGAUGAAGGUCUUCGGAUCGUAAAACUCUGUUAUUAGGGAAGAACAAAUGUGUAAGUAACUAUGCACGUCUUGACGGUACCUAAUCAGAAAGCCACGGCUAACUACGUG